Molecule: ribosomal RNA, 123 nt
Filed under: Candidatus Ishikawaella capsulata Mpkobe
Lineage: Bacteria; Pseudomonadati; Pseudomonadota; Gammaproteobacteria; Enterobacterales; Enterobacteriaceae
Source: RNAcentral
ACCUGGCAGUAAUUAGUACGGCAGAACCACCUGAUUCCAUUCCGAACUCAGAAGUGAAAUGUCGUGGCGCCGAUGGUAGUGUGGGGUCUCCCCAUGUGAGACUAGGAAACUGCCAGGUUUCGC